Calliphora vicina (urban bluebottle blowfly) is the source of this 350-nucleotide long non-coding RNA. RefSeq lists it as uncharacterized. The transcript is spliced from 2 exons. NCBI's taxonomy places the organism in Eukaryota, Metazoa, Arthropoda, Insecta, Diptera, Calliphoridae. The record is from RefSeq and is a predicted model, not a curated record.
AAUGCCAUUUGAAAUGAGGUAAUUUUUAAUAUACAUAUAUUUUUUUUUUCCCAAUACAUUUUAACACAAAUUUUGCAGAUAUCGAGGAAAAAAGUCUCCCGAUGCUGUAUUAGCGAAAAUUUGUUGGUGGAGCAAGAACUUGCAUUACGAUGAUGAAGGAGAAGAAAACACAGGAAGUGAACUACAAAAUUUGUCUACUUCAAAUUCUGGUUCUACAGAGCAUCCACCAGAACAGAAAAGACCUCGAACUAUAUAAUGUAGUUCAUUUUUAUAUAAACUAUGUAAAAAAAAUACAAAUUAAAUUUUAAAAAUUAAAUAUAUAUGAAAAAUUUUUACUCAAAAAAGCUGAA